This 73-nucleotide transfer RNA is filed under the name Pseudomonadota bacterium. RNAcentral describes it as "tRNA-Arg". It matches the Rfam family "tRNA". From Rfam's summary of the family: Transfer RNA (tRNA) molecules are approximately 80 nucleotides in length. Their secondary structure includes four short double-helical elements and three loops (D, anti-codon, and T loops). RNAcentral also lists the same sequence under 2 other names. Lineage: Bacteria; Pseudomonadati; Pseudomonadota. The record is from RNAcentral.
GCCCCGGUAGUUCAAUUGGAAGAACGUGUGGCUUCGGACCACAAGGUUGGGGGUUCGACUCCCUCCCGGGGCA